AUAAAUCUCCCCCACUGAGCAUAAAACAGAAAAACAAUCUCUAAUAAAUAUAAUCUGUCAUUUCUUAGUGCUAUAAAUUAUUUUCAGAACUGUCUAAAUAUUGGCAGCCACUACAGUUUCAACAGUAGAUGCCACUCAGCUUUCUGGAUCACUUUAUGUGGGCGGCCCCUUGAGAAAGUGAGGCACGAAACGAUGUUGGUGCAUUGGUACGGUGACAAAUAAUGGGUUAUUGAAGAUGAAUACGUCCAGCGGCUCUGUGGAGGCUGAUAUGUUCCUGACCUAUUGUUCAUGAGGUUUUGUUCCUGUUCGUUCAGGUUCCUGCGGUCCUGUUUACCAUGUUGGCAGACAUCCUCACGUCGGAGAAGUUCCAGUACUUCAAGAUAGUACCUUCCGUGCUGAAAGCCGCAUAAAGAAAGAGGAUGAGUGGUUCCAGAGAGUCCUUUAUAUAUGAGCCAGUCGGGCUAGGAGGGGUGAAGAGGAUGACAAGGGCUGCUGGGAGAUGUAGUCCAAAAAGUUUUUCUUUGAAAUAUAUGUUAUGAAUGUUUUUAUUUUUAUUUUUUUUAAUUUCUGCUAU
Long non-coding RNA from Hyla sarda, 574 nucleotides. RefSeq lists it as uncharacterized. The record is from RefSeq and is a predicted model, not a curated record. The transcript is spliced from 3 exons. Lineage: Eukaryota; Metazoa; Chordata; Amphibia; Anura; Hylidae.